AUUCCAGCUCCAAUAACAUAUAUUUAAGUUGUUGCAGUUAAAAAUCUCGUAGUUGGAUCUUGGAUCAUAAAAGUCGGUCCGCCUACUCGGUGUGCACCUACACUUCCGUCCCUUUUGUCGGCAGCGUGCUCCUAGCCUUAAUUGGCUGGGUCGCGGCUCUGGCAUUGUUACUUUGAAAAAACUACAGUGCUCAAAGCAAGCUUAUGCUUUGAAUACAUUAGCAUGGAAUAACGUGAUAGGAGUCUGGUCCUAUUGUGUUGGCCUUCAAGACCGGAGCAAUGAUUAAUAGGGACUGUCGGGGGCAUUCAUAUUUCAUUGUCAGAGGUGAAAUUCUUGGAUUUAUGAAAGAAGGACGACUGUGAAAGCAUUUCCCAAUGAUGUUUUCAUUA
RNAcentral lists this ribosomal RNA (389 nucleotides) under Embryophyta sp. RNAcentral describes it as "partial small subunit ribosomal RNA". It matches the Rfam family "Eukaryotic small subunit ribosomal RNA", at positions 582 to 975 of the family's 1831-position model. The record is from RNAcentral. Lineage: Eukaryota; Viridiplantae; Streptophyta.